RNAcentral lists this ribosomal RNA (233 nucleotides) under uncultured bacterium. RNAcentral's name for it is "partial 16S ribosomal RNA". It matches the Rfam family "Bacterial small subunit ribosomal RNA", at positions 118 to 354 of the family's 1533-position model. The record is from RNAcentral.
UGAGUAACCUGCCCCAGACUCUGGGAUAAGCACUGGAAACGGUGUCUAAUACCGGAUACGAGCUUCAGCCGCAUGGCUAGGAGCUGGAAAGAAUUUCGGUCUGGGAUGGACUCGCGGCCUAUCAGGUAGUUGGUGAGGUAACGGCUCACCAAGCCGACGACGGGUAGCCGGCCUGAGAGGGUGACCGCCACACUGGGACUGAGACACGGCCCAGACUCCUAGGGAGCAGCAGG